RNAcentral lists this ribosomal RNA (253 nucleotides) under uncultured bacterium. RNAcentral describes it as "partial 16S ribosomal RNA". It matches the Rfam family "Bacterial small subunit ribosomal RNA", at positions 524 to 776 of the family's 1533-position model. The record is from RNAcentral.
UACGUAGGGUGCAAGCGUUGUCCGGAAUUAUUGGGCGUAAAGAGCUCGUAGGCGGUCUGUCGAGUCUGCUGUGAAAACUCAGGGCUUAACCCUGAGCUUGCAGUGGGUACGGGCAGACUAGAGUGCGGUAGGGGAGACUGGAAUUCCUGGUGUAGCGGUGAAAUGCGUAGAUAUUGGGAGGAACACCAGUGGCGAAGGCGGCUCUCUGGGCUGGUACUGACGCUGAGGCGCGAAAGCGUGGGGAGCAAACAGG